GAUGAACGCUGGCGGCGUGCCUAAUACAUGCAAGUCGAGCGAACAGACGAGGAGCUUGCUCCUCUGACGUUAGCGGCGGACGGGUGAGUAACACGUGGAUAACCUACCUAUAAGACUGGGAUAACUUCGGGAAACCGGAGCUAAUGCCGGAUAAUAUAUUGAACCGCAUGGUUCAAUAGUGAAAGACGGUUUUGCUGUCACUUAUAGAUGGAUCCGCGCCGCAUUAGCUAGUUGGCAAGGUAACGGCUUACCAAGGCAACGAUGCGUAGCCGACCUGAGAGGGUGAUCGGCCACACUGGCACUGAGACACGGUCCAGACUCCUGCGGGAGGCAGCAGUAGGGAAUCUUCCGCAAAGGGCGAAAGCUUGACGGAGCAACGCCGCGUGAGUGAUGAAGGUCUUCGGAUCGUAAAACUCUGUUAUUAGGGAAGAACAAAUGUGUAAGUAACUAUGCACGUCUUGACGGUACCUAAUCAGAAAGCCACGGCUAACUACGUG
Molecule: ribosomal RNA, 497 nt
Filed under: uncultured bacterium
Lineage: Bacteria
Description: partial 16S ribosomal RNA
Rfam family: Bacterial small subunit ribosomal RNA
Source: RNAcentral